Molecule: small nuclear RNA, 126 nt
Filed under: Rhinolophus ferrumequinum (greater horseshoe bat)
Lineage: Eukaryota; Metazoa; Chordata; Mammalia; Chiroptera; Rhinolophidae
Description: U4 spliceosomal RNA (ENSRFEG00010007763.1)
Rfam family: U4 spliceosomal RNA (bases 1-69)
About the family: U4 small nuclear RNA (U4 snRNA) is a component of the major U2-dependent spliceosome. The structure of U4 snRNA from yeast and human has been reported. U4 snRNA presents a k-turn RNA motif in the 5p-SL related to recognition of Snu13 protein.
Source: RNAcentral
AGCUUUGCGCAGUGGCAGUAUCGUAGCCAAAGAGGUUUAUCAGAGGCGCGAUUAUUGCUAAUUGAAAAGGUAGCUUACUUAAGAAGGAUAAAGUUAGGGACUUAAAACUCUUGUGUUCAGAGUUGA